GAUGAAGAACGCAGCGAAAUGCGAUAAGUAGUGUGAAUUGCAGAAUUCAGUGAAUCAUCGAAUCUUUGAACGCACAUUGCGCCCCUUGGUAUCCCGAGGGGCAUGCCUGUUCGAGCGUCAUUUCACCACUCAAGCCUGGCUUGGUGUUGGGCGACGUCCCCUUUGGGGACGCGCCUCGAAACGCUCGGCGGCGUGGCACCGGCUUUAAGCGUAGCAGAAUCUUUCGCUUUGGAAGUCGGGGCCCCGACUGCCGGAAGACCUACUCGCAAGGUUGACCUCGGAUCAGGCAGGGAUACCCGCUGAACUUAAGCAUAUCAAUAAGCGGAGGA
Molecule: unclassified non-coding RNA, 329 nt
Filed under: soil metagenome
Description: partial contains 5.8S ribosomal RNA, internal transcribed spacer 2, and large subunit ribosomal RNA
Rfam family: 5.8S ribosomal RNA (bases 1-120)
Source: RNAcentral